RNAcentral lists this ribosomal RNA (253 nucleotides) under uncultured bacterium. RNAcentral describes it as "partial 16S ribosomal RNA". It matches the Rfam family "Bacterial small subunit ribosomal RNA", at positions 524 to 776 of the family's 1533-position model. RNAcentral also lists the same sequence under 1 other name. The record is from RNAcentral.
GACGUAGGAUGCGAGCGUUGUCCGGAUUUAUUGGGCGUAAAGAGUUCGUAGGUGGUUUGUUAAGUCUGGUGUUAAAGACUGGGGCUCAACCCUGGAUAUGCACUGGAUACUGGCAGACUUGAGUGUGGUAGAGGCUAGUGGAAUUCCCAGUGUAGCGGUGAAAUGCGUAGAUAUUGGGAAGAACACCGGUGGCGUAGGCGACUAGCUGGGCCAUAACUGACACUGAGGAACGAAAGCCAGGGUAGCGAAUGGG